RNA transcript from Papaver somniferum (opium poppy), 2296 nucleotides. RefSeq lists it as uncharacterized. The transcript has 7 exons. The record is from RefSeq and is a predicted model, not a curated record. NCBI's taxonomy places the organism in Eukaryota, Viridiplantae, Streptophyta, Magnoliopsida, Ranunculales, Papaveraceae.
UCAAUAAUUUGACUUACAGAGGUCGUUAAAAUUUUGAAUUUGUACUAUUUGUUGGUUUGGGGCUUUGGGGUGCUGGCGAUUCUUGUGCUGGAGUUGCUGGUGGUUUUUGUGGAGGUGAUGGUUUUGGUGGCUGGUGCCGUGGGGUUUUUGAGCUUGAAUCUGAUGUUAGGGAUGGUUUUGAUGGUGAUAGUGGUUUAAGGUUUCGAUUUCUUGUUAUUGAUGUUUUGAUCUUUAAAAUUUGAACUUCUCUAGUCCAAAAAAUUGGUUUUGAAUUUUGAAUAGUUAUUAGAAUUUUUAAAAAAUGCAGGGGUAUUAAAGCGAUUUGGUAGUUUUGUAUUACCAAGUAAUUCAUUUACCUCAACCAAACAUUAAUAUUUGGAUUCAGAAUCUCGUUCCCUGGAUUUCAAUUCCUGGUAAUGGGUUACCCCAUAAUUGUGAUUCGUUCAGAUAGGGUUCUUUUUCUAUUUUAAGGAUUUUCUUUCUUUGAAAGUUCUUAGUCUGUUCUAGUUUCUUUAAUUUAGGGUCUGGACUGAAUUCAAUCUUCUAUUGUGUAUGUUUAUGCUGACAGAUCCGCUCCUCUCACUGCAUGUCUGCAGCCUCUUGACAAAAGUGAAUCAGUUCCAGUAUGCUCAAACUGAAAGUACUUCACUUUUACUAACUCAUUUUGAUUUGUCUUAUCAUUUCGUUGUAGUACAUACUUAGUGGAGUUGCUUCUUUACGUUUUUAUCUUUCCAAUUUGUUGGCGAAAGAUUGCCACCCUGUUCAAUCUCAAAACAUGGAGCUUGCAACGAAUAGACAUUGUAAUGCACUCUGUUACCAAAUCUAUAUCCGGGCAUGCGGAUGUCAUGGCAGGAGUCCUUGUUGCAUUCCCCUGCACAGCACAGAAUGAAAUUGGGCAAUAUGAUGCCGUAUAUUGGUAGAGGGCUCUACUAUUACUUGUACUCCUCAAGCAGUUGAUGUACCGAGGAAAGAUAAUGGUCUUAUUGCUCCAACAAAGGCUGCUGGCACUAGAAGGAGGUGGGGAUUGAGAAACAUAGGUAAUGGAUCAGCAUCGCUCUGACUCAGGAUUUAAACUUGGGUCUGUGAACCAUACAUCAGAAGCAGUGGUGAAGAAGUAGGAUGCCGUAAGGUUAACUUCUAAAGUUGAAGGACUAAUUGUGCUGAAAGCAACCCAUGUAACUGUUCACCACUCUUCUCGCAUCUUGGUCGUCGUAAAGCAAUGUACUGGAGAAGCAGACUUGUUCAAGCUGUUGCAUGGAGCGCAUACUUGUCAAUUUCUCUUCUUAUAGCGGAUUGUUUGAUUGCUCAGUUGUCUUGAGAUUGAUACAACGAUGUAGUGAGAGUGAUUUUUCAUUUAACUACAGGGAGUUGGAGGAACAGUUGAGUUGGCCCCUAGAUACUUAAAACAAGUAUAUGAUGUGGUAAUAAGGCAGGUGGGAUGUUUAUGGCGGAUGAAGUACAAUUUGACCGUACUGGAAGCCAUUUCUGGGUUUUUGAGAAAAAAGAUGUCAUUCCUGAGUUUGUUACUAUGGCCAGGGUCACUACCACCACUCUCACGUACUUUUUUUGGUACCUCGGAUCUUUACAUUGUUUGUUUGAUGUGAACAAGUCUACAUCCAUUUUAUAAACUGUGACAGGGUAUGUGAAAUGGUUUACCGUUAAGAGCAGUUGUGACGACACCUGAAAUAGCAAGUGUAAUGGCUCAAGAAAUUCAGUUCAACAUGUUUGGUGCAAACCUGUAUGUUCAAAUGGUGGGCUUUGGCGUUCUCAGAGUCCUCGGUAUGGAAAAGUGUGAAGCACAUUGUGCUGAUGACUGGAUGUCUGGAAUCUCUGCAGCAGAGAUAUGAAAGUAAACCAUUGGUAACCUAAGAUUGGGUACUAGUAUAAUCCCCAUCAGACCCGAUGCACAGCACCGAUUGGGUACUAGUAUAACAAUGACCUGAAGCAUCGUUAACACCUUGUUUCGAUGAGAGGCUCUUGAUUACAAUUGCAUUAUCCUUUCGGAAAUUUCUUCAAAACGAUCAGGCGGUAUUGGAAACCUGACAAACUCCUUCGUGUCUCUGUUGCAAUAGUAAAACCAGGUAGAAUUUUCUGGUUGUACGAAGAUUAAAUUUGUUCCUCUAAGAACUUCAAUAGAAUCAUCUCCUUUGUAAUUCCAUGUUGAUUCAUAAGGUAUUUCGAACUUCUCUUCAAUCCACUCGACGCUACCAUCUGUAUCUUCAAUAAGUACCCAUAGGGAAAUGUCACCUUCCGUUACAUGUUGUACUACAGCCACACAUCCAUCCACUUCUCUCAA